Rhododendron vialii is the source of this 498-nucleotide long non-coding RNA. RefSeq lists it as uncharacterized. NCBI's taxonomy places the organism in Eukaryota, Viridiplantae, Streptophyta, Magnoliopsida, Ericales, Ericaceae. The transcript has 5 exons. The record is from RefSeq and is a predicted model, not a curated record.
UUCGAGUUAUUGCUUUGUCAGGUUGCAACAGGUAUACAAGAUUUUAUAGUACAUAGAUCAAUACUGUCAAGAAAACCAGCUCCCACCUCUUCCAGUCAUUUUAUGCGGGGAUUGGAAUGGAAGUAAAAAGGGGAAUGUAUAUAAGUUUCUGCAAUCAAAAGGUUUCAUCUCAGCCUAUGAUAUUGCUCAUCCAUGCACCAAUGGCAGCGAAGAUUUCUCUAAGUAGAUUAGCCAUUGUAACCACAGAAGCAAUAUGUACGGUGUAGAUUUUAUUUUGCUUCGCAAUCCCAGCAAACAUCUGAAGCCACUAAAAGAAAGCUUGAUGGAAGCAGUUCUUAGGAACAUCAAUAACCUGUCACUAAAAUUGUCACUAGAGGCCAUCGGCCCAUUACACCUUCUUGAAGCUGAUGGCAGUCACAUAAACUAUUCUUAGUUCUUGCAAGUUCUAGCUCAGGUAUUUCCCUGUUCAUGUUUGAGAAUAUUUUAAAAUUUUUUUUU